AUACGAAGGGUGCAAGCGUUACUCGGAAUUACUGGGCGUAAAGCGUGCGCAGGCGGUUUUGUAAGACAGAGGUGAAAUCCCCGGGCUCAACCUGGGAACUGCCUUUGUGACUGCAAGGCUAGAGUACGGCAGAGGGGGAUGGAAUUCCGCGUGUAGCAGUGAAAUGCGGAGAUAUGCGGGGGAACACCGAUGGCGAAGGCGAUCCCCUGGGCCUGUACUGACGCUCAUGCACGAAAGCGUGGGGAGCAAACAGGAUUAGAUACCCUGGUAGUCCACGCCCUAAACGAUUUCAACUGGUUGUUGGGUCUUCAUUGACUCAGUAACGAAGCUAACGCGUGAAGUUGACCGCCUGGGGAGUACGGCCGCAAGGUUGAAACUCAAAUGAAUUGACGGGG
RNAcentral lists this ribosomal RNA (395 nucleotides) under uncultured bacterium. Its description in RNAcentral is "partial 16S ribosomal RNA". It matches the Rfam family "Bacterial small subunit ribosomal RNA", at positions 523 to 918 of the family's 1533-position model. The record is from RNAcentral.